This is a long non-coding RNA of Uranotaenia lowii, 494 nucleotides long. RefSeq lists it as uncharacterized. The record is from RefSeq and is a predicted model, not a curated record. The transcript is spliced from 3 exons. NCBI's taxonomy places the organism in Eukaryota, Metazoa, Arthropoda, Insecta, Diptera, Culicidae.
UGAAUGUUCAGCUGCCGCUGCCACGGUCAACACGGUGAACGGUGGCCUGUCCUCAACGACGGCGGCGUAACAUGAACCAAACAGGAAAAAACAACCCGUCAAAACCGAACCACCUAUGAACCGGCACAGGGCACCGGAAGGCUUUGAUGGGACUAUCCGGAGUUGGAAACUUUCGACAGCUAUGAGGGAAGAAUCGAUAGUGGACACCUAGGGCAACCAAUUGGAAUGUACUGGCUGUUCCGAUGCUCCGGCUAAGCGGUUGCAAUCUUCGGAUCCAGUCCAAGGAGACUCAAGGUUUGGCGUCGAAACCAUUCAUCGUUGUUCUAAUGGAACUGUCCGUCAACGAACAUCUUUUGAUAUUUUAACAAUAUGGCUGAAACAUCUUUAAGUGUUGUCCUGAGAGGCGAAGUUUGGACAAUGAAGCCUAACGAAUGAACAAUGAAGCCUCUUAUAGGUAAUUGAAAUGUAAAACAUAUAAACAUACAUAGUUUAAU